UUUUUUUAACAGAAUAUGCCGGAAUCGACCCCAUCCGAUGUUGUGUCAAUACAUAGAUAAACGUUGUCAAUUUCCGGCGCCGAAAAUGUCAACGUAAAAUGUCAGUAAAAGUUGGAAUCUUUUCUUCUUUGUAGACUUUGUAUAAAUUUUGUUUAUCUUAAUGUCAGGAAAGUCAGGCAGUAUGUUGAAACCAUAUCAACGUUAUACCAAACCAGGCUUUACUUGGUAAACUAACAGUUUAAGGCCUGCAUCAACAUCAUGAGAUUGACUUGUUGACAUCGUAGAUCAUCGUACUUUAAUAAAGUUGAGAAAAGAUUCAUUUCGUGCAUAUUGUUACCGGCCC
RNAcentral lists this long non-coding RNA (343 nucleotides) under Mytilus galloprovincialis (Mediterranean mussel). The record is from RNAcentral. Lineage: Eukaryota; Metazoa; Mollusca; Bivalvia; Mytilida; Mytilidae.